GCCUUCAUGGUGCAGUGGUCAGCACGUUCGAUAUGUAUUCGAGAAGUCCGUGGUUCGAUUCCCGGUGAGGGCU
RNAcentral lists this transfer RNA (73 nucleotides) under Stegodyphus mimosarum. It matches the Rfam family "tRNA". Rfam says of the family: Transfer RNA (tRNA) molecules are approximately 80 nucleotides in length. Their secondary structure includes four short double-helical elements and three loops (D, anti-codon, and T loops). Further hydrogen bonds mediate the characteristic L-shaped molecular structure. tRNAs have two regions of fundamental functional importance: the anti-codon, which is responsible for specific mRNA codon recognition, and the 3' end, to which the tRNAs corresponding amino acid is attached (by aminoacyl-tRNA synthetases). tRNAs cope with the degeneracy of the genetic code in two manners: having more than one tRNA (with a specific anti-codon) for a particular amino acid; and 'wobble' base-pairing, i.e. permitting non-standard base-pairing at the 3rd anti-codon position. The record is from Rfam by way of RNAcentral. Lineage: Eukaryota; Metazoa; Arthropoda; Arachnida; Araneae; Eresidae.